GAUGAACGCUGGCGGCGUGCUUAACACAUGCAAGUCGAACGGAAAGGCCCUGCUUUUGUGGGGUGCUCGAGUGGCGAACGGGUGAGUAACACGUGAGUAACCUGCCCUUGACUUUGGGAUAACUUCAGGAAACUGGGGCUAAUACCGGAUAGGAGCUCCUGCUGCAUGUUGGGGGUUGGAAAGUUUCGGCGGUUGGGGAUGGACUCGCGGCUUAUCAGCUUGUUGGUGGGGUAGUGGCUUACCAAGGCUUUGACGGGUAGCCGGCCUGAGAGGGUGACCGGCCACAUUGGGACUGAGAUACGGCCCAGACUCCUACGGGAGGCAGCGGUGGGGAAUAUUGCAGAAUGGGCGGAAGCCUGAUGCAGCAACGCCGCGUGCGGGAUGACGGCCUUCGGGUUGUAAACCGCUUUCGCAUGUGACGAAGCGUGAGUGACGGUAAUGGGUAAAGAAGCACCGGCUAACUACGUG
Molecule: ribosomal RNA, 468 nt
Filed under: uncultured bacterium
Lineage: Bacteria
Description: partial 16S ribosomal RNA
Rfam family: Bacterial small subunit ribosomal RNA
Source: RNAcentral